This is a long non-coding RNA of Brienomyrus brachyistius, 1782 nucleotides long. RefSeq lists it as uncharacterized. The record is from RefSeq and is a predicted model, not a curated record. NCBI's taxonomy places the organism in Eukaryota, Metazoa, Chordata, Actinopteri, Osteoglossiformes, Mormyridae. The transcript is spliced from 4 exons.
GGUUAGGGACCAUGUGGUCUAUACACAAUAACAAUGGUGAUUGGAGUUUAGGGACCUUGCAGUCUAUACACAAUAACAAUGGUGAUUAGAGGUUAAGGACCAAGUGGUCUAUACACAAUAACAAUGGUGAUUGGAGGUUAGGGACCAGGUGGUCUAUACACAAUAACAAUGGUGAUUGGAGGUUAGGGACCAUGCAGUCUAUACACAAUAACAAUGGUGAUUGGAGGUUAGGGACCAUGCGGUCUAUACACAAUAACAAUGGUGAUUGGAGGUUAGGGACCAGGUGGUCUAUACACAAUAACAAUGGUGAUUGGAGGUUAGGGACCAGGCGGUCUAUACACAAUAACAAUGGUGAUUGGAGGUUAGGGACCAGGUGGUCUAUACACAAUAACAAUGGUGAUUGGAGGUUAGGGACCAUGCAGUCUAUACACAAUAACAAUGGUGAUUGGAGGUUAGGGACCAGGUGGUCUAUACACAAUAACAAUGGUGAUUGGAGGUUAGGGACCAGGUGGUCUAUACACAAUAACAAUGGUGAUUGGAGGUUAGGGACCAUGCAGUCUAUACACAAUAACAAUGGUGAUUGGAGGUUAGGGACCAGGCGGUCUAUACACAAUAACAAUGGUGAUUGGAGGUUAGGGACCAGGCGGUCUAUACACAAUAACAAUGGUGAUUGGAGGUUAGGGACCAGGCAGUCUAUACACAAUAACAAUGGUGAUUGGAGGUUAGGGACCAGGUGGUCUAUAAACAAUAACAAUGGUGAUUGGAGGUGAAGAACUACAAAGAGAUGAUCCCGCAAGACUAAGAAGAAGAAUUUCAAAUGUGCUAAAGCUAUAAGCACUUUGCUCAGACACUCCUAGGUCAGACUGAAAUAUUGCAGCAGCACCAGCACCUUUGCCAUCUGGUCGAGGGUUAUGCUGUAAUCAGCUGGAGUAGAUUCAUUUAGUGCCAUGAAUUCAUUCGGUUUAAGUCAGGUCUCUGUAAGGCAUAAGGACCAAGACUAAAAUCAGUAAUCAUUUCAUUUAUUAGUAGUGUCUUAGGAGCCAGUGAUCUUCCAUUCAAAAGUCCAAGUUUUAGCCUUGCAUUACACCUAUUAUCUAAUAAUGGAUUUGGUUUAAUUAUUAUUAAGUUAUUAUGACAUUCACUAUGGUGGAAUAGACCUCCAUGAUUAAAAGCGCAGGGAACAGACACAGUCCCAGUAACAUGAACCCCAGGUGACGACUCUAAGCACCUAGCAGGUGGUCGGUUAUGCCGGUUUGCCUGCCACCUGGACUUGGCCCUGGCUAGUCAGCGAUUUGCCUGGAGACUAUGAGCUAUGCUUUCGGACAGGAGAUCGGCACCAGCCCACGAGGGGUGAACACCGUCCCUCUUCAAAAGCCCAGACCUACCCCCAAACAUUUGCCAAUUGUCUGUAUAACCCUAAGGCAUUUUUCUGGCACCAUUCCGACAGCCAGCGAUGCAGCGACGAUAAUCUGCUGUAUAUUUCAUCACCACGUCUAGCAGGGAUGGGGCCAGAGCGCGUUACUGACACACACAUCUUCUUCACAAGGCUGCACACCUCUAUGAAAUUUGUCUGUGUAACUAUUGACUAUGAAUUGCAGAAUCAUGCACAGACAAUAGUUAUAGCUCUACAUUAAUUUUAUCGUUCUUUUUUUUUUUUAAGAUGUGAACAGAAUGUGCAGCCGUGUUGAGGGACCAGGCAGUCUAUACACAAUAACAAUGGUGUUAAUGGUUCCCUGACUAUGAAACUUGAAAGGGAGGGGGGGGUGACCUAUAAUAUAUUUU